AACGAACGCUGGCGGCGCGCCUAAUACAUGCAAGUCGAGCGAGAAGACGUAGCAAUACGUUUGUAAAGCGGCGAACGGGUGAGGAAUACAUGGGUAACCUACCCUCGAGUGGGGAAUAACUAGCCGAAAGGUUAGCUAAUACCGCGUACGCUCCUUGGACUUCGGUUCAGGGAGGAAAGCGAUACCGUGGGUAUCGCGCUCUUGGAUGGGCUCAUGUCCUAUCAGCUUGUUGGUGAGGAACGGCUCACCAAGGCUUCGACGGGUAGCUGGUCUGAGAGGACGAUCAGCCACACUGGCACUGCGACACGGGCCAGACUCCUACGGGAGCAGCAGUAAGGAAUAUUGCGCAAGUGGGACGAAA
This 361-nucleotide ribosomal RNA is filed under the name uncultured bacterium. RNAcentral describes it as "bacterial SSU rRNA". It matches the Rfam family "Bacterial small subunit ribosomal RNA", at positions 29 to 380 of the family's 1533-position model. The record is from RNAcentral.